GACGAACGCUGGCGGCGUGCUUAACACAUGCAAGUCGAACGGAAAGGCCCUGCUUUUGUGGCGUGCUCGAGUGGCGAACGGGUGAGUAACACGUGAGUAACCUGCCCCUGACUUUGGGAUAACCUCAGGAAACUGGGGCUAAUACCGGAUAGGAGCUCCUGCUCCAUGGUGGGGGUUGGAAAGUUUCGGCGGUUGGGGAUGGACUCGCGGCUUAUCAGCUUGUUGGUGGGGUAGUGGCUUACCAAGGCUUUGACGGGUAGCCGGCCUGAGAGGGUGACCGGCCACAUUGGGACUGAGAUACGGCCCAGUAUCGUACGGGAGGCAGCGGUGGGGAAUAUUGCGCAGUGGGCGGAAGCGUGAUGCAGCAACGCCGCGUGCGGGAUGACGGCCUUCGGGUUGUAAACCGCUUUCGCAUGUGACGAAGCGUGAGUGACGGUAAUGAGUAAAGAAGCACCGGCUAACUACGUG
Molecule: ribosomal RNA, 468 nt
Filed under: uncultured bacterium
Lineage: Bacteria
Description: partial 16S ribosomal RNA
Rfam family: Bacterial small subunit ribosomal RNA
Source: RNAcentral